This is a long non-coding RNA of Bolinopsis microptera, 787 nucleotides long. RefSeq lists it as uncharacterized. The record is from RefSeq and is a predicted model, not a curated record. Lineage: Eukaryota; Metazoa; Ctenophora; Tentaculata; Lobata; Bolinopsidae. The transcript has 2 exons.
CCAUGAGUGCCGUGCGAGCUUUCAGCUCUUUUACGGGGAAGAGCCUCAAGUAUACACCCAUGGCCUGGCAGACCAAGAUGGAGUUCAUGAAAGCAACGUUAUUGUGUUUCCUUCCUGUUGGAUCCUGGGCAGUUUAUCAAGAGACAGAACUUUAUAAAAUAAGGACAGAUGACUCAUAUCUUGAUGAAAUCUUGAAGGGUUCAGAAGCAAUGACUCAGCCUGGAGCGCCCCAGAACACAGGAAUGACAAAACAACAGUUCCAGGCGCAGUAUUCUGAUAAAAUUAAUACAGAGGAAUCUAGAGUUAAGAAAAGAUUAGAAGAAGAGGCCUACGCUGCCCUGAAAUAAGGAAAUCUUAUUUAUUAGUUGGUUUUCAGAAUGGAAGCAGAUGAACUUUGGUGUGGACUCAAUUUGCUGUUUAGUGGCACAGUGUUUAUAUACAUCUUCAUCUUAUUUUCUAGAUUUGAGGGAUUUUGCCUCAGGGUUAUUGACUGGUAAUUUGAAAAACGGAGCAGUAUUUGAAGAAUAGAGCUGAGGAUAUAACUUGUGAAGAAUAGACUUGGAUUGUAGCUAAAUUUGAGGCUCGCUUGAGACCAUUCCCGUUUGCAAGAAACAGUGUACAAAUCAAGUUUAUAAUGAUUGAUUUGUAGUUAGUAGCACAUAGCAUUAUACCGUGACCCAUGGCCGUUCCGAUGAUUUGUCGGAAGUGUUGAAUUUUUGUGUUUAGAAUUGUUUACAGAUUGUUACUUUUAUAAAUUGUUUAAUUUAUUACCAUUUGAGUAAAUAAA